UACAGAGGUCUCAAGCGUUGUUCGGAUUCAUUGGGCGUAAAGGGUGCGUAGGCGGCGCGGUAAGUCGGGUGUGAAGAUCGUGAGCUUAACUCCGAAACUGCAUUCGAUACUGCCGUGCUUGAGGACUGGAGAGGAGACUGGAAUUUACGGUGUAGCGGUGAAAUGCGUAGAUAUCGUAAGGAAGACCAGUGGCGAAGGCGGGUCUCUGGACAGUUCCUGACGCUGAGGCACGAAGGUCAGGGGAGCAAACGGG
This 253-nucleotide ribosomal RNA is filed under the name uncultured bacterium. Its description in RNAcentral is "partial 16S ribosomal RNA". It matches the Rfam family "Bacterial small subunit ribosomal RNA", at positions 524 to 776 of the family's 1533-position model. The record is from RNAcentral.